RNAcentral lists this unclassified non-coding RNA (230 nucleotides) under plant metagenome. RNAcentral's name for it is "partial contains small subunit ribosomal RNA, internal transcribed spacer 1, and 5.8S ribosomal RNA". The record is from RNAcentral.
UCUCCGUAGGUGAACCUGCGGAGGGAUCAUUACAGAGUUCUCGCCCUCACGGGUAGAUCUCCCACCCACUGUUAUCAUUACUGUCGUUUCUUUGGCGGGCCGCCGGGUCCCCGGCCGCCGGCGCCUAGCUGCCGGCGCGCGCCCGCCAGAGGCCUUCAAACUCUGAAUGUUAGUGUCGUCUGAGUACUAUAUAAUAGUUAAAACUUUCAACAACGGAUCUCUUGGUUCUG